AAAAGAGGCCAACCCCAUAACAGAUCAAUAAUCUUUUUUAAUUAAGAACAGAUUACAAUAUAGAGCCUGCAGUUUGUUCACAUUAUGGCAGUUGCUCUCUGCUUGAAAAAUGUUAUAGCCACGAGCAUUCAGACAACCAGAUUGGAAGCUAAUGCCUCAUAACAUUUAACUAUGUCAAUAACACUACCUUGUAGGUAAACCUACAAUCACAAUAUAACUUGUGUAUUAGUGUAACAAGAAAUAAUAACAAUUAGAUUCCACCAUACAUUGUUGCAUUACAACUUGUCGCCCACCAUUUACUUUAAAGAUGAUAUAGAAAAUCAUUCAUUUCAUUUUCAUCUAAAUUACACAAUUAACCACCAGCAAUUUAUCAAAAGAGGAUCUUAUUUCAUGCUUGCAACUGUGACAGCAUGAAAAGAAACAUGCUAUUUUUCUCAUUAGUUGCGACCAACAUAUUGCAACUUCAUGCUGCUAUCCGAUCAAACUGCACCAUCACUUCUAGCUUCUGUAGCAGCUAGGUUCUCAGCUUCUGCACCAUCACUUCUAGCUUCUGUAGCAACCAGGUUCUCAGCUUCUGCACCCUCACCAGAAGAACUAGCCUCGGCAGCAAUUUCUUGAGCACUCACCUCUUCUUCAGGGACCGCUUGUUUAACAUCAUCAUUG
This 663-nucleotide long non-coding RNA is filed under the name Nicotiana tabacum (common tobacco). RNAcentral's name for it is "long non-coding RNA (NTAB_LNC001633)". The record is from RNAcentral. Lineage: Eukaryota; Viridiplantae; Streptophyta; Magnoliopsida; Solanales; Solanaceae.